AUACGGAGGGUGCAAGCGUUACUCGGAAUCACUGGGCGUAAAGCGCGCGCAGGCGGCUUGAUAAGUUGGAUGUGAAAGCCUACGGCUCAACCGUAGAACUGCAUCCAAAACUGUCAGGCUAGAGUGUGGGAGAGGAAGAUGGAAUUAGUUGUGUAGGGGUAAAAUCCGUAGAGAUAACUAGGAAUACCAAAAGUGAAGGCCAUCUUCUGGAACACUACUGACGCUGAGGCGCGAAGGCGUGGGGAGCAAACAGGAUUAGAUACCCUAGUAGUCC
This 274-nucleotide ribosomal RNA is filed under the name uncultured bacterium. RNAcentral's name for it is "partial 16S ribosomal RNA". It matches the Rfam family "Bacterial small subunit ribosomal RNA", at positions 523 to 796 of the family's 1533-position model. The record is from RNAcentral.